Molecule: unclassified non-coding RNA, 219 nt
Filed under: Hevea brasiliensis (rubber tree)
Lineage: Eukaryota; Viridiplantae; Streptophyta; Magnoliopsida; Malpighiales; Euphorbiaceae
Source: RNAcentral
GUCGUCUUGUACAUUGAAGUCGCUCAAGCAUGAACUUCGUGAUGUAGACUAGUAUCUUCAUUCUUCAAGUGACUUGGGCAUGCAUCGGCACGAUACAGACAAUUUAUGUGUUUUAGAAUAAAGUAAAAGUAGAAAGACACUUCAUAAUUAGAAGUCAAGGACAAGGAUCUGAAGUGGCAUUACUGAUAUAUGAGCGGUGAGAGCAAAAGGAGUGCAUUU